GGAGAGUUUGAUCCUGGCUCAGGAUGAACGCUGGCGGCGUGCUUAAUACAUGCAAGUCGAACGGAGUAUGUAGCAAUACGUACUUAGUGGCGAACGGGUGAGUAACGCGUUGGUGACCUGCCUCGAAGAGAGGGAUAACAGUCCGAAAGGAUUGCUAAUACCUCAUGUGAUCAUAGAGUUUAGAAAUCUAUGAUUAAAGGAGUAAUUCACUUCGAGAGGGGCCUGCGUACCAUCAGCUAGUUGGUGAGGUAAUGGCCCACCAAGGCGAUGACGGUUAGGGGACCUGAGAGGGUGGCCCCCCACAAUGGAACUGAAACACGGUCCAUACACCUACGGGUGGCAGCAGUAGGGAAUAUUAGUUAAUGUGCGAAAGCGCGAACUAGCAACGCCGCGUGUGCGAUGAAGGCCUUCGGGUCGUAAAGCACUUUUCUAGGGGAUGAGGAAGGACAGUACCUUAGGAAUAAGCAUCGGCUAACUACGUGCCAGCAGCCGCGGUAAAACGUAGGAUGCGAGCGUUAUCCGGAUUUACUGGGCGUAAAGCGCGUGUAGGCGGUUCGGUAAGUUGGAUGUGAAAGCUCCCGGCUUAACUGGGAGAGGUCGUUCAAUACUGCCGAGCUAGAGGAUGGUAGAGGGAGGUGGAAUUCCGAGUGUAGUGGUGAAAUGCGUAGAUAUUCGGAGGAACACCAGUGGCGAAAGCGGCCUCCUGGACCAUUUCUGACGCUCAGACGCGAAAGCUAGGGUAGCAAACGGGAUUAGAGACCCCGGUAGUCCUAGCCGUAAACGAUGUAGACUAGGCGUUGGUUGAGUAAAAUCGAUCAGUGUCGGAGCAAACGCGAUAAGUCUACCGCCUGGGGACUACGGCCGCAAGGCUAAAACUCAAAGGAAUUGACGGGGCCCCGCACAAGCAGCGGAGCGUGUGGUUUAAUUCGUUGCUACACGAAGAACCUUACCUGGGUUUGACAUA
This 964-nucleotide ribosomal RNA is filed under the name Leptolinea sp. RNAcentral describes it as "bacterial SSU rRNA". It matches the Rfam family "Bacterial small subunit ribosomal RNA", at positions 8 to 988 of the family's 1533-position model. The record is from RNAcentral. Lineage: Bacteria; Bacillati; Chloroflexota; Anaerolineae; Anaerolineales; Anaerolineaceae.